AGUGAACGCUGGCGGUAGGCCUAACACAUGCAAGUCGAACGGCAGCACAGUAAGAUCGUGCUCUUACGGGUGGCGAGUGGCGGACGGGUGAGGAAUACAACCGAACCUACUCUUUCGUGGGGGAUAACGUAGGUAAACUUACUCUCAUACCGCAUACGAUCUACGGUGGAAAGCAGGGGAACUUCUGACCUUGCGCGAAUGAAUUAGCCGAUGUCGGAUUAGUUAGUUGGCGGGGUAAAGGCCCACCAAGGCGACGAUCCGUAGCUGGUCUGAGAGGAUGAUCGGCCACACUGGAACUGAGACACGGUCCAGACUCCUACGGGAGGCAGCAGUCGGGAAUAUUGGACAAUGGGCGCAAGCCUGAUCCAGCCAUACCGCGUGGGUGAAGAAGGCCUUCGGUUUGUAAAGCCCUUUUGUUGGGAAAGAAAAGCAGCAGCUUAAUACCCCGCUGUUCUGACGGUACCCAAAGAAGAAGCACCGGCUAACUACGUG
RNAcentral lists this ribosomal RNA (492 nucleotides) under uncultured bacterium. RNAcentral describes it as "partial 16S ribosomal RNA". It matches the Rfam family "Bacterial small subunit ribosomal RNA", at positions 29 to 507 of the family's 1533-position model. The record is from RNAcentral.